CAGAAUCAGCGGGGAAAGAAGAC
This 23-nucleotide non-coding RNA is filed under the name Arabidopsis thaliana (thale cress). Lineage: Eukaryota; Viridiplantae; Streptophyta; Magnoliopsida; Brassicales; Brassicaceae. RNAcentral also lists the same sequence under 1 other name. The record is from RNAcentral.